AACGUAGGAGCCUAGCGUUAUCCGAAUUUACUGGGCGUAAAGCGCGUGCAGGCGGCUUCGUAAGUGGAUUGUGAAAUCUCCCGGCUCAACUGGGAGGGGACGGUCCAGACUGCGAGGCUGGAGGCAGGGAGAGGGAGGUGGAAUUCCCGGUGUAGUGGUGAAAUGCGUAGAGAUCGGGAGGAACACCAGUGGCGAAAGCGGCCUCCUGGCCCUGACCUGACGCUGAGACGCGAAAGCUAGGGGAGCGAACGGG
This 253-nucleotide ribosomal RNA is filed under the name uncultured bacterium. RNAcentral's name for it is "partial 16S ribosomal RNA". It matches the Rfam family "Bacterial small subunit ribosomal RNA", at positions 524 to 776 of the family's 1533-position model. The record is from RNAcentral.